RNAcentral lists this ribosomal RNA (429 nucleotides) under Bacteroidota bacterium. Its description in RNAcentral is "Bacteroidetes bacterium partial 16S ribosomal RNA". It matches the Rfam family "Bacterial small subunit ribosomal RNA", at positions 355 to 776 of the family's 1533-position model. Lineage: Bacteria; Pseudomonadati; Bacteroidota. The record is from RNAcentral.
UAGGGAAUCUUCGGCAAUGGGGGGAACCCUGACCGAGCAACGCCGCGUGAGUGAAGAAGGUUUUCGGAUCGUAAAGCUCUGUUGUUAAGGAAGAACGAGUGUGAGAAUGGAAAGUCCAUACUGUGACGGUACUUAACCAGAAAGGGACGGCUAACUACGUGCCAGCAGCCGCGGUAAUACGUAGGUCCCGAGCGUUGUCCGGAUUUAUUGGGCGUAAAGCGAGCGCAGGCGGUUAGAUAAGUCUGAAGUUAAAGGCAGUGGCUCAACCAUUGAAGGCUUUGGAAACUGUUUAACUUGAGUGCAGAAGGGGAGAGAGGAAUUCCAUGUGUAGCGGUGAAAUGCGGAGAUAUAUGGAGGAACACCGGUGGCGAAAGCGGCUCUCUGGUCUGUAACUGACGCUGAGGCUCGAAAGCGUGGGGAGCGAACAGG